UACGUAGGGUGCAAGCGUUAAUCGGAAUUACUGGGCGUAAAGCGCGCGUAGGUGGUUUGUUAAGUUGAAUGUGAAAUCCCCGGGCUCAACCUGGGAACUGCAUCCAAAACUGGCAAGCUAGAGUAGGGCAGAGGGUGGUGGAAUUUCCUGUGUAGCGGUGAAAUGCGUAGAUAUAGGAAGGAACACCAGUGGCGAAGGCGACCACCUGGGCUCAUACUGACACUGAGGUGCGAGAGCGUGGGGAGCAAACAGGAUUAGAAACCCUAGUAGU
RNAcentral lists this ribosomal RNA (271 nucleotides) under uncultured bacterium. RNAcentral's name for it is "partial 16S ribosomal RNA". It matches the Rfam family "Bacterial small subunit ribosomal RNA", at positions 524 to 794 of the family's 1533-position model. The record is from RNAcentral.